CCAGCGGAAGAACGGAUCCAAGAGCAGAAGGCCGGAUCGUGCCCGUUUUCCAGCCGUCCGGUAGGAGGGAGUUACGUUUUUACGUAGUGACGUCAUUGACGGAAGCUCAGGCGGCAGCUGUGGACUGAGACUGUGGGUCACCCUUGGGAAGGUAUAUGAAGAUUCUGAUCCUAAUUUGACUGGCUUCUUUUUUUCACCAUGGGUGAGCUCUUCCGAAGUGAGGAAAUGACCCUUGCACAACUUUUCCUUCAGUCUGAAGCAGCAUACUGCUGUGUCAGUGAAUUGGGAGAACUUGGGAAGGUCCAGUUUCGAGAUCUAAACCCUGAUGUGAAUGUGUUCCAACGUAAAUUUGUUAACGAAGUCAGAAGAUGUGAAGAGAUGGACAGAAAGCUCAGAUUUGUGGAAAAAGAAAUUAAGAAGGCCAACAUCCCCAUCACAGACACCGGAGAGAAUCCAGAAGUGCCAUUUCCUCGAGACAUGAUUGACUUGGAGGCAAACUUUGAGAAAAUAGAGAAUGAGCUCAAGGAGAUCAACACCAAUCAGGAAGCCCUGAAAAGGAAUUUCCUAGAGCUAACAGAGUUGAAAUUCAUACUGAGAAAAACUCAACAGUUUUUUGAUGAGGCUGAAUUGCAUCAUCAGCAGAUGGCGGAUCCUGAAUUGUUGGAGGAGUCUUCAUCGCUGUUGGAACCAAGCGAAAUGGGAAGAGGGGCCCCACUGCGAUUGGGAUUUGUGGCUGGAGUGAUCAACCGUGAGCGAAUCCCGACCUUUGAGCGAAUGCUUUGGAGGGUGUGUCGUGGAAAUGUUUUCUUACGACAAGCUGAAAUUGAAAAUCCUCUAGAGGACCCAGUAACGGGUGACUAUGUGCACAAGUCUGUGUUCAUUAUUUUUUUCCAAGGUGACCAGCUGAAAAACAGAGUCAAGAAGAUCUGUGAAGGAUUCCGGGCUUCUUUGUACCCCUGUCCAGAAACUCCACAGGAAAGGAAGGAAAUGGCUGCCGGAGUAAACACAAGAAUUGAUGACCUUCUGAUGGUACUGAACCAAACUGAAGAUCAUCGUCAGAGGGUUCUUCAGGCUGCUGCAAAGAACGUCCGUGUUUGGUUCAUAAAGGUGCGCAAGAUGAAAGCCAUUUACCAUACUCUGAACCUCUGCAAUAUUGAUGUGACCCAGAAAUGUCUCAUCGCUGAAGUCUGGUGUCCUGUUGCUGACCUGGAUUCCAUUCAGUUUGCUCUCAGGCGUGGUACGGAGCAUAGUGGAUCCACUGUCCCCUCUAUCUUGAAUAGGAUGCAGACCAACCAGACUCCACCUACAUACAAUAAGACCAAUAAAUUCACUGAUGGGUUUCAGAACAUUGUAGAUGCUUAUGGUAUUGGAACCUAUCGUGAGAUUAAUCCAGCUCCAUACACAAUCAUAACCUUCCCAUUCUUAUUUGCUGUGAUGUUUGGAGAUUUUGGCCACGGCAUUCUUCUGACACUUUUUGCUGUCUGGAUGGUGAUCAGAGAGAGCCGCAUUCUAUCACAAAAGAGUGAUAAUGAGAUAUUCAACAUUAUUUUCAGUGGCCGCUACAUUAUACUGUUGAUGGGUUCUUUCUCCAUUUAUACUGGCCUGAUCUAUAAUGACUGUUUCUCAAAGUCACUCAAUAUGUUUGGCUCAUCUUGGAGUGUCCGACCAAUGUUCCAGAAAUCCAACUGGACAGAAGACCUUCUCCAGGAAUAUCCUAUGCUUCAGCUUAAUCCUGCCAUUGAGGGUGUUUUUGGUGGAGCAUAUCCCUUUGGCAUUGAUCCAAUCUGGAAUAUUGCUACCAACAAGCUGGUGUUCCUUAACUCCUUCAAAAUGAAGAUGUCAGUAAUUCUGGGCAUCAUCCACAUGAUGUUUGGUAUCACACUUAGUCUGCUGAACCAUAUUUAUUUUAAGAAACCUCUGAAUAUCUUCCUUGGCUUUAUCCCUGAAAUUAUCUUCAUGUCUUCAUUGUUUGGAUAUUUGAUCAUCCUUAUCUUCUAUAAGUGGGCAGCAUACAAUGCUAAGAACUCCAUGUAUGCACCAAGUCUUCUUAUUCACCUCAUCAACAUGUUCCUCUUCUCCUAUGAAAAAGAUGCCAAAAUGCUUUAUAGUGGGCAGAAAGGUCUUCAGUGUUUCCUGGUGGUAGUUGCAUUUCUGUGUAUCCCAUGGAUGCUGGUUGCUAAACCCUUGAUUCUUCGCCAACAGUAUUUGCAAAGAAAGCACUUGGGAACACUCAAUUUUGGUGGGAUUCGUGUAGGCAAUGGGCCAACUGAGGAAGAUGCCGAGAUAAUCCAGCAUGAUCAACUCUCCACUCAUUCUGAGGAGGGUGAAGAGCCUGCAUUGGAGGAAGUGUUUAAUUUUGGAGAUACCGUUGUCAAUCAGGCUAUCCAUACCAUUGAAUAUUGCUUAGGAUGCAUCUCCAACACAGCCUCCUACCUGCGUCUCUGGGCACUCAGUCUAGCUCAUGCACAGCUUUCUGAAGUCCUCUGGACCAUGGUGAUUCACUUGGGUCUCAGUAUCAAUAAUCUGGCUGGUAGUUUGGCCUUGUUCUUUUUAUUUGCUGUCUUUGCUACUCUAACAGUAGCCAUCUUAUUGGUCAUGGAAGGUCUUUCAGCCUUUCUGCAUGCCCUCCGUUUACACUGCCUCAUUACAUUCUGUCCUUGAUGAAGUGUGUGUAUUUUAGUACAAGCAGUGAGAUGGAUGUUGUUUCUAAAAAGAGGGUGGAAUUCCAGAAUAAAUUCUACAUGGGUGCUGGGUUCAAGUUUCUCCCUUUCUCAUUUGACAGCAUCCGUGAUGGGAAAUUUGAUGAAUAAUCAUCUAGGAGACAUAAUGCUUGGAAGUGUGCCACUAAAUCCAGACCCUUACCUGCAUGUGUGCAUAUAUAUUUAUAAGUCUCCCUGAAUGAUAAUCUGAUGUGUAGUUUUCCUGUUGUGUCCACAAUAUUCUAGUGAUAAUAAUGUGAUAUUUCAUUUAAAGUUUUUAUUGAAGGAAGAAAAUUCUAAAAGGAUACUCAGAGAAUUUCAGGGGUGGGGGGAUUGCUACCAAAAUUAAACUGUACUUUUUUCAAGUCUUGGAUGAGCCUUUGGUUUUAUGCCACAAGUGCUGAGAGAGGAAUGUUUGUGAUCAUAAAGGAGGAUGACCUGGUGGUCUGUAGCUGUCUUGUUCCCCAAAACCAUGGUAGCUAAAAGAGAAAAAUUCAAGUUUCUAGUCCUAUGAACUGCUUUAGAUUUGGGGAAACACACAUAUUGCAUACAUUUGUUCUAACACUUGAUGAUUAAAAGGGGCUCAGUUAUUCAUCCAUCCAAAAUGCACACUUUCCUUUCAAACUUUCAAAAGGGUAUUUAUAGUCCCUACAGAUUAGUUUUACUAAGUACAAAACUUGCAAUCCAAAAAGCAGUCCUGUUUGCAAUAGCCUGCUUAGAUGCUAGUACUUUUUCUGCAUUUUUUUCUCGGUUAAAUCACAUCCAUAGGGGAGACAAUUCACCAGAAAGAUUCUUCACUAUUAUUUGACAGACAUUUUAAGCAUUUGCCCCUGCACAGGACUUUUCCCAUAUUUUAAAUAUAAUUUUAAUCCCUGGAAACCUCUUUUCUGUAACAUUUGAGAUGUAAACUAGGAAAUGUAGAUGGAAAGUCAAUCGCUUUCUGGAAAAGUGACCCCCCCAAAACAUUGCAUCUUGGCAUUGUCAGAAAUCUUUUUUGCUAGAUGAAAAGAGCAGGUGGAGAAGCAGCUUACUUGAUUACCUAGCUGGCCUCUGUUUGGCUCCACAUGAUUAAUUAAUAAGAAAACAUUUAAUAACACUGCUUAAAACUUUGAAUUGCUUGUUUUGUUCAAAGAAAAGUCAGAAUCUUUCACCUCAGUUCUCACAUGACCUUGACACCUAUUACUGCUGUAGAGAACAAUUUGAUUACUAUUGACAUGUCUAGAGCUGAACAAUUCAAGAGAGUGUGGUAGCUUGACAGCAGCAGUAACAGCAGCAGUAUAUAUGUUCUUAGGACAGAUUCUCCUUGAAAAUAGGAAUAGCUUGAGGGUAACACCUGCCUUCUCUUUGUGUGUGUUUUGAUGCAGGAAUGAAUCUAGUAUUAUAUGCCUCUGUAAGAUGCAAAUUUAUUCUCUGAGUGUCAUGUUGUGUUGUGUUAGAUAAAUGUGCAUUUUUCUGAAAGUGUUUCACAUGAAAACCUCAGGGCCCUUCAUUGGCACUUAAAGAAUGAGCCUUGAUUUGAUGUGAUAACCUUACAAGAGGGUGCAAAAAUAACACUUUUUAUUAGAAACUGUGAAAUUCUAGCUGUUGCUGUUGUGUAAAAUGCAAAAAUCCUGUUUUGACAACUAGAAUAUGCAGUAAAGUUUUUCCCUAUUUUCGUCAUCAGCUAAUUGCUGUAUCUAUUAAAGCAGUUGAAGUCA
Molecule: RNA transcript, 4396 nt
Organism: Crotalus tigris (Tiger rattlesnake)
Lineage: Eukaryota; Metazoa; Chordata; Lepidosauria; Squamata; Viperidae
Gene: ATP6V0A1
Gene name: ATPase H+ transporting V0 subunit a1
Exons: 23
Source: RefSeq, a predicted model, not a curated record